AGCGAACGCUGGCGGCAGGCCUAACACAUGCAAGUCGAACGAACCUUUCGGGGUUAGUGGCGGACGGGUGAGUAACACGUGGGAACGUGCCUUUAGGUUCGGAAUAACUCAGGGAAACUUGUGCUAAUACCGAAUGUGCCCUUCGGGGGAAAGAUUAAUCGCCUUUAGAGCGGCCCGCGUCUGAUUAGCUAGUUGGUUGAGGUAAUGGCUCACCAAGGCGACGAUCAGUAGCUGGUCUGAGAGGAUGAUCAGCCACAUUGGGACUGAGACACGGCCCAAACUCCUACGGGAGGCAGCAGUGGGGAAUCUUGCGCAAUGGGCGAAAGCCUGACGCAGCCAUGCCGCGUGAAUGAUGAAGGUCUUAGGAUUGUAAGAUUCUUUCACCGGGGACGAUAAUGACGGUACCCGGAGAAGAAGCCCCGGCUAACUUCGUG
RNAcentral lists this ribosomal RNA (434 nucleotides) under uncultured bacterium. RNAcentral's name for it is "partial 16S ribosomal RNA". It matches the Rfam family "Bacterial small subunit ribosomal RNA", at positions 29 to 507 of the family's 1533-position model. The record is from RNAcentral.